This 765-nucleotide ribosomal RNA is filed under the name uncultured Streptococcus sp. RNAcentral's name for it is "bacterial SSU rRNA". It matches the Rfam family "Bacterial small subunit ribosomal RNA", at positions 28 to 776 of the family's 1533-position model. Lineage: Bacteria; Bacillati; Bacillota; Bacilli; Lactobacillales; Streptococcaceae. The record is from RNAcentral.
GACGAACGCUGGCGGCGUGCCUAAUACAUGCAAGUAGAACGCUGAAGAGAGGAGCUUGCUCUUCUUGGAAGAGUUGCGAACGGGUGAGUAACGCGUAGGUAACCUGCCUUGUAGCGGGGGAUAACUAUUGGAAACGAUAGCUAAUACCGCAUAACAAUGGGUGACCCAUGUCAUUCAUUUGAAAGGGGCAACUGCUCCACUACAAGAUGGACCUGCGUUGUAUUAGCUAGUAGGUGAGGUAACGGCUCACCUAGGCGACGAUACAUAGCCGACCUGAGAGGGUGAUCGGCCACACUGGGACUGAGACACGGCCCAGACUCCUACGGGAGGCAGCAGUAGGGAAUCUUCGGCAAUGGGGGCAACCCUGACCGAGCAACGCCGCGUGAGUGAAGAAGGUUUUCGGAUCGUAAAGCUCUGUUGUAAGUCAAGAACGAGUGUGAGAGUGGAAAGUUCACACUGUGACGGUGGCUUACCAGAAAGGGACGGCUAACUACGUGCCAGCAGCCGCGGUAAUACGUAGGUCCCGAGCGUUGUCCGGAUUUAUUGGGCGUAAAGCGAGCGCAGGCGGUUUGAUAAGUCUGAAGUUAAAGGCUGUGGCUCAACCAUAGUUCGCUUUGGAAACUGUCAAACUUGAGUGCAGAAGGGGAGAGUGGAAUUCCAUGUGUAGCGGUGAAAUGCGUAGAUAUAUGGAGGAACACCGGUGGCGAAAGCGGCUCUCUGGUCUGUAACUGACGCUGAGGCUCGAAAGCGUGGGGAGCGAACAGG